RNAcentral lists this small RNA (2172 nucleotides) under Arabidopsis thaliana (thale cress). RNAcentral's name for it is "ATSL030450". Lineage: Eukaryota; Viridiplantae; Streptophyta; Magnoliopsida; Brassicales; Brassicaceae. The record is from RNAcentral.
AACAAAAAUAAUUCACAAAGUCUGAGUCUAAGAAAUCAUACCAAUGAUCGCUCUGUUGCUGGUACUGCCUAUCUCACGCGUAGUAUAGCCAUGUGGUGCCGCUACAAUAUGUGCUAACUGCUGCACAUUCUGCUGCACUCCUUGCUGCACCUGCGCUCUGUGCUGCACCGCCGGCUGUACUAGUGCUACUGUCAUCUGCUGCAGCUUAGGACAAUUUGUCUAAGAUGUCCUCUCUCCCUGCAGUGGUAGCACUCCCUCGUCUAAGGUCGCCGCGUACAAUCCGCUACCUUGUGGUCAAGGUUCUCACAAGAAAAACAUCCCGCACGACCACCCUGUCCAGCUCUAAAAGGAUGAUCCCACUUCCUCUUCUGCACCUGCGCAGGCUUGCCGCCCUUGCUAGGUGCCACCUGCUGUUGAAUCUUCUUCGGUUGUACCGAUGGACUGACUGCCACCACUUGCCUCUGAAGGUCCUCCUCUACCUCAGCAGCUGUCUACACCAGGGCCGCCUUCGUGGCGUACUGCGACACUCUACACCGCACCCUCAAAUCCGGUCGAAGUCCCCUCAAGAACCUUCUCAUCUGGGCCUGGUCAUCCUCCAUGCCCCGACCCGCAUACACCAAGAGUCGCUUAAACUCACGGCCAUACUCCCGAACUGACAACUCACCCUUUGUCAGCUCAAGAAAACGUGCCUCCAUACGGUCGAGCGCCUCCUGCGGAAAGUACUUGGCAUUAAACUCAGCCACGAAAUCUGUCCAAGACAUAUCCGCCUGCCUCCUCCUAACAGUCACACUCCGCCAUCACAAAUGUGCAUCCCCAUCUAGAAAAUGCACUGCCAGAUCCACCGAUACUCCGCCGGGCAUCUUCUAGAACCGAAUUCCUUUCAACCCGCGACCUCUAACUGUCGGCCUCCUCAGCACUAGUACCACCAGAAAAAUACCCGUGCCAAUCCUCUGCAACUGCUCCAUCAUCCUCAAAUAAGAUGGAACCUCCUCAACAACUGCAGCCCUCUGCUGCACCUCCGCCACUCGUGGCGCAACUGGAGCAUGCACUGGUACCACACCUGGUAACCGCUCCAACAACUGUCUAAGUAGGCCCGCCAAACCAACCUCUGGAACCUGGGCUCCUCCUGCUGCGACACCUAACACUCCUGGGUCCUUAGCACCAACGGCAUGCACACCAACACUGACACCAGCUCCACCAGCCCCCACUCCGGUUGCACCAGCUAUAUCGGCACCAAGACCGUCCCCAACCCCGGGCUCCACAAACUCAAGUUGCGAACCCACACUCUGCUCAAUCGUGGCACUGCGGCCAUCACUCUCGCCGAUACCCUCGAGGACUCGUCUCCUACCGCGACCACGACCACGACCACGAUCACGACCAUGAACUUCAGCUCCUCUAACCAUCUGCGCUACUCAAGAACAAAUGGCUAAGAAACUAAAACAAACAAAUAUAUCACAAACAACUUACCGUGGAAUCUCAUUUAAGGCUCAGAGAAGAUGAUGCUAGGACUCCAACAAACACAAUUGACUAAACACUCCAUAAUCAAUCCUCAUUAUGCUAACGCCCUAACUCAUCCCACAUCAAUCAUCAGAAAAAAUAAUUCAUCAAUUAAUUAUUCUACACAUCCUAAAACCGUGAUCGCUCUGAUACCAAAUUGAAACAACCCGACCCAUUUUUUUUAAACAUAAUUAAAUAUUCCCAUAAAUAUCUAAUUAAACAACCAAUAAACCAACAAUUGAACCGCAAGUCAAAAAUACUAUUUUAUGAAUAAAUAAAUAAUUCGACCAACAAAACCAAGAAUAACUAACAAUCCUAACCGGGUUCCAAUAACCAAAACACAAAAAUAAAUCAAAUGAGUUUCUAGAUCAUCCUCUCUUUCUUGCCAUGAUUCCACGAUCACACUUUAUCUUUACCUGCAUCAAAAAGAAAGAGAUGCGUAAGUAUUAUCACAAAUACUUAGUGAGGCGAUCCUCCCAUCUACGAGAUAUACACACAAGCAAAUAAAAGCGGCAUAAUCACAAAUACCACACAAACAAACCAGUCACUGAACAAUUCACCAAAACACAUUCACCACACCUACAUAUCAUCACACAAAACAAAUCACACAACCCAAUCGCUCAGAUAAGGCCAUGGUCACGCACUCACCUUAACAAAUUGAUUCUAACAAUAAUU